AGAAGGCGCCGGGGCAAGCGGCCUGUUGGCGCCCAGUUUCAGCUGGCUGUUCCCGCUAGCAUCAGGGCUCGAUCGUAGAGGACGCGGCAGCCGCAGCUCGCGGAGAACAGCGGGCAGAGCUGUGGGCUGCACGCGCCCCUGCAGCCACCGGGCGUCCCGCAGAGGCUCCCGCGCCCUGCGGCGACUUCCGCCCCCGCGCUCCCCUUUGUCCGAGUCCCCAAGCGGCGGCGGCGGGGUAGGAGCCCACGCCGUGGGCGACUGAGGCGGCGGCAGUCCGCGUCCCGGCGCCCUGGAGAUGCCGGACCAGAUCUCCGUGUCGGAAUUCGUGGCCGAGACCCUUGAGGACUACAAGGCGCCCACGGCCUCUAGCUUCACCACGGGCACGGCCCAGUGCCGGAACACCAUGGCGGCCAUCGAGGAGGCUACACUUGGGAAAACCAUCAUAUUGAAGGACAUUGUCAAAGUUCAAGAAGAAAUGAAAGGUUUAGUCUCCACUGCCAGCUGCCAUGGGCAAGCAGAACAGCAAACUGGGUCCUGAGGUGCUGCAGGACCUGCGGAAAACAGGGAGUUCACCCACCAUGAGCUUCAGGAGUGGUACAAGGGCUUCCUCAAUGACUGUCCCACUGGCCACCUGACUGUGGACAAUUUCAAGAUCUAGGCCAACUUCUUCCCCUACAGAGAUUCCUCCAAGUUUGCUGAACAUGUCUUCCACACCUUUGACACCAACAGCGACAGCACCAUCGACUUUCAAGAGUUCAUCAUUGCUCUGAUCAUGACCUCUCGGGGCAAGCUGGAACAGAAGCUCAAGUGGGCCUUCAGAAUGUCUGAACUAGACAGCAAUAGCUACUUCAGCUGCAGUGAAAUGCUGGAGAUAGUGCAGGCAAAAUGUCCCUGGAAGAAUUCAACAAAGGUGCCAAGAGUGACCCAUCCAUUGUCUGGUUGCUGCAGUGUGAUCCCAGCAGUGCUAGCCAGUUCUCAGGGGAAUGGGCUUUUACACAGUUGUGAGAAGCACAGUCUUGACCUGCCAUCUUCAGCUUUGCUUGCAAAAGUGGAUUUCUCCGUGAUUUCUCCUGCUCUCUCGGGACCUGGGUCCAGACAGCACAUCACACUCACCUGGUCUAGCUGGAUUCAGCUCCCUCCUCUAUCUGACCCAAUAGAUGUCCGUCCCCAUCCAGUCCAGGCUGGUUCCUUCCAAGGUUUCAAGUGUUCUCAGCUGUAGGGCUCCUUCCCUCCCCACGGAGGGCCUGGAGGCCCUUAAGGACACCAGACAGGACUUUUCAGUAUCUUACCGAGACCAGCUGAUUUAUUCUAUGAUCCCAGCUGACUUUGUGAGCAUGAAGAAGAUGGAGAGUAGAUAGGCAAGCCCUUCCUGUUCAUGGCUCCACCUCCCUUGUUCAUUUUCUCCAACCACAGCUGCUUGCAUGUAUAUACCGUGGUAUCCUUACUUUUAAUAUAUAAGUUUUGUAUAAAGUGAGAAGUUUCAGCCCCUGUAUUUAAAGCCUCUGACUGCCUUUAAAGCAUGGUCCCCUGUGGCUUGUGAUUCUCCCCACCCCCAAAUCUAGCUGUGCUGUGGUAUUUAAGUAUUCAUUUGCCUAAUUAUACAGGAUAUACAUGCAUGCCCAAGGCUGUGGACAUCUGCCCUCCGUCCUGCAAAUACAGGUUUUCUUGGGUGCUCCAUCCUUCCUUUCCAUUGACCUGGAAUAUUAAAAUGGUCAAAUAAACCAA
Molecule: long non-coding RNA, 1725 nt
Filed under: Mus musculus (house mouse)
Lineage: Eukaryota; Metazoa; Chordata; Mammalia; Rodentia; Muridae
Description: RIKEN cDNA 3110053B16 gene, transcript variant 3 (3110053B16Rik)
Source: RNAcentral